UUUAUUUUUUUACAAUACAGCAAAAAGCCAGGUAUUUAUCAGUUGAAAUGGACACACGGUAUGCAGUUAGUUAAUUCAAUUUUCAAUUCAAUUCAAUUUUAUUUAUAUAGUGCCAAUUACAGUCAAAUUGUCUCAGGAUGCUUUACAGUUAGCUCGCAGAUCUGAAAAGAGUACAGGUGUUUUAGGGCUGAAAGCUGAAUCAUUUUCUGAACACUAUUCACAUGAAAUGGUAACUUCAAAUGAAAAAAGAAGAAAAUCACAGACAUAGUCCUUAAUAAUGGCAUAGGUUCAUUUCUACAGAUUUAGUUCUAUGGUUUGCCCAUUUUUUAUAAAGCAAACAAAUUAUUCCAUACUGUACAUUCAUAGUAAGGGUGGCUGUGGCUCAGGUGGAGAGCUGGUUGUCCACCGAUCAACAUGUGGCGGGGCCAGGAAUUGAGCUGCCAACCUUGCAAAGUGUCCUUGGGCAAGACACUGAAACCCAAGUUGCUCUCAAUGGCAGGCAGGCACCUUGCAUGGCAGCUCUGUCACCAUUGGUAUGUGUGUGUGAAUGGGUAAAUGGGAAACAUUGUAAAGUGCUUUGCAUACCUCUAAGGUAGAAAGGCUCUAUAUAAAUGCAAACCAUUCAUUUAACAUUUAAAUGCUAGUGUACACAAUACUUGGCUACACAAAAGCCCUUAUACUUUCUGUACUGAAUCUCUGAGACAAUAACAAUAUACCAUCUAUCAGUGACAAACAUUUAUCGUCUGUUUUUACUAAUAAGCCCCUUUACCAACAAAGCCACAGCUUUAAUUUUUUUUUCUAGUAGCCCCAUGAGAUGGAAUUGACUGUGGUUAUGCACUACAUCGGUUCCCUUUGCCAGGAGGUGAAACCUUAUCUAGCCAGGACCUCUGAAGCUCAUUCACACAUUCACGAAAUGGCAUACCUCAUUUGUCCUAUACCACUAAAAGAAUUAUCACCUUUGUGCAGUGGAAGGUUUAGUGUGUCCUCAUGAUUCUGGGAGCUAUGUUGCAGGAAGUGCUAGCCCUUUGAAUGGGCUCCCUAGGCAAAUUGGUUCUAGGGGAGAGACAAUGAGAGCUCACCACAGAGCUAAGUACAAGUGUAUGUCUGGUGGCCAAGCCUUGAACCAUGACAAAGGGGAGAAACGAUUCAGGGAUUCCAGUUAAUAUGCCAAAACAGAGCUGCAGCAACUCACUCUGAUUAGAAAUCAGGGUUCCCUUCUGGCACCAGUCCUGGGAGGGGAACUGGCUGGCAAGUGUUUGUCAGGGCCCUCUCCCUGGUCCCUGCAUCAGCCCCCACCUAACCUCCCUUUAUUCUCCCUGUCCCUCCUUUUUCUGUUUCUCCCCAGUUCUACCUCUUCAUUCUCCCUCCCUCUCUAUUCCACCUACACCUCACUCUCGCUCUCCUGUGCCACUCUCUACAGUGGCUGUAACCAAUUAUUCCCUCAUCAGCAGUAACUCCAGGCAGCUGUGGCGCUGUGCUCUGGUCUCAUCACCUCUGCAAUAAAAGCCGGCUUCGCACUCAACCCUCUGCUAGAUUGUAGCUUCUGCUUACGCAUUCUGCUGGUCAUGCUGCCUGUGCGUUCUGCUGGAACUAUCCUGCCAAACCUCUGGCAAGGUCCUGUCAAGCCUCUGUAGUAUCCUGCCAUGUCCUGUCCACGUUGCAGCCACGCUCCCCUUCUAAAGAGUGUACCGGCUCCCACCUGGCCCAACUCCGAUCUGUCACUGCACUCUCCACCACCAACUCCCCCUGUCCAGCGGUGACACCUCUGGAUCACCAGUCCCCAGGAGCCAGCCGUCCCCCCUUCCUUCCAGCUGGUAGUGAGUUUAGUUCAGUUUCUCCCUCACUCUGGCUAUCCUCUAGUUCUAGCUUUAGUUCUAGUUAGUUCCCUCACCCAAUUUGUUUUUUCCUGUUCUUUUGUAAAUAAAAUUCUGUUAUCCCUGUCACCGGUGUCUGUUGUGCUGCGUGCUCUCUGCUUGGGUUCUCAUUGGCGCUGUGAUAGUUUGGUGGCUGUGCCUAGGCACAGCCUGCAAAAAAGUUGCAUUAAGCCACCACCCAGUACACCUACCAUAUGCAAGGAUAAGAGCUGGGGUCAGGUGCACUGCAAGCUGAGCGGUAUGCUGACUCUCAACAGCACAAACUAGUUCUGGGGAUGUGGAACAUCACCUCUCUGAUGGGAAGACACUGGAGAUGGUGUGGCUGGUGGGACAGUACCAGCUAGAUAUAGCUGGGCUCAUCCCCACACAUAGCAGAGGUUCUGGGGGCUGGGCUCUCUCCUUUCUGAGUUGAACUGGGUGAUAGAUGCCAGAGGGUGUGGGAGAAAUAACAAGUCCCUAGCUGAGCAAUGUUGUGCUCAAAAUCUCCCUGGUGAGAGGGUUUGCCUCUUUGUGACAAUAGGUCACUGAGGAGCGUGCACUGACUGUUGUCAGUGCUUAGGCACCAUACAACACUUCAUCUGCUGCAACAUCUUCGAUUCUUUGGGUGACGUUCUGGAAGGGAUUCUGCAAGCGGUCUCCAUAGUUCUAUUGGAAGAUUUCAGUGCUCACGUGGGCAGUGGUGGAGAAACCUGGAGUGAAGCAGAGUAGUGUUUUUACUUAAUGCUAUAACAGCAUAGGGUAGCUCACAAGGAUACUAAGUAACAGAGCUGACAGGCCAAUCUGACAAUCGACUUUGUGCUCGUAUAAUCAGACCUGUGUCUGUACUAGUAU
This is a long non-coding RNA of Amphiprion ocellaris (clown anemonefish), 2705 nucleotides long. Lineage: Eukaryota; Metazoa; Chordata; Actinopteri; Pomacentridae. The record is from Ensembl.